GACGAACCGUGCAAACGUUAUUCGGAAUCACUGGGCAUAAAGGGCGCGUAGGCGGCUCCAAAAGUCAGGGGUGAAAUCCGGCAGCUUAACUGUCGCAGUGCCUUUGAUACUGUGGAGCUAGAGGGAGGUAGGGGUCUGUGGAACUUCCGGUGGAGCGGUGAAAUGCGUUGAUAUCGGAAGGAACGCCGGUGGCGAAAGCGACGGACUGGAUCUCUUCUGACGCUGAGGCGCGAAAGCCAAGGGAGCAAACGGG
RNAcentral lists this ribosomal RNA (253 nucleotides) under uncultured bacterium. RNAcentral's name for it is "partial 16S ribosomal RNA". It matches the Rfam family "Bacterial small subunit ribosomal RNA", at positions 524 to 776 of the family's 1533-position model. The record is from RNAcentral.